CUGACUUUUCCGAUGGCACGCAGGCGUCGAUGAAUGGUUGAACGACCAAAUCCAAGCUUCUCUGCUUGUUCCUCAACAGUUACGAUGAGAUUUUGUUCCAGCAGGACAAAAUAAUUAAACUCUACACAUCUUCCAGGACGAGGAUCGUCU
Molecule: long non-coding RNA, 150 nt
Organism: Octopus sinensis (East Asian common octopus)
Lineage: Eukaryota; Metazoa; Mollusca; Cephalopoda; Octopoda; Octopodidae
Exons: 3
Source: RefSeq, a predicted model, not a curated record